UAGGGAAUCUUCGGCAAUGGGGGCAAACCUGACCGAGCAACGCCGCGUGAGUGAAGAAGGUUUUCGGAUCGUAAAGCUCUGUUGUAAGAGAAGAACGUGUGUGAGAGUGGAAAGUUCACACAGUGACGGUAACUUACCAGAAAGGGACGGCUAACUACGUGCCAGCAGCCGCGGUAAUACGUAGGUCCCGAGCGUUGUCCGGAUUUAUUGGGCGUAAAGCGAGCGCAGGCGGUUUAAUAAGUCUGAAGUUAAAGGCAGUGGCUUAACCAUUGUUCGCUUUGGAAACUGUUAAACUUGAGUGCAGAAGGGGAGAGUGGAAUUCCAUGUGUAGCGGUGAAAUGCGUAGCUAUAUGGAGGAACACCGGUGGCGAAAGCGGCUCUCUGGUCUGUAACUGACGCUGAGGCUCGAAAGCGUGGGGAGCAAACAGG
RNAcentral lists this ribosomal RNA (429 nucleotides) under bacterium. RNAcentral's name for it is "partial 16S ribosomal RNA". It matches the Rfam family "Bacterial small subunit ribosomal RNA", at positions 355 to 776 of the family's 1533-position model. The record is from RNAcentral.